This 253-nucleotide ribosomal RNA is filed under the name uncultured bacterium. Its description in RNAcentral is "partial 16S ribosomal RNA". It matches the Rfam family "Bacterial small subunit ribosomal RNA", at positions 524 to 776 of the family's 1533-position model. The record is from RNAcentral.
UACGUAGGGGGCAAGCGUUGUCCGGAAUUAUUGGGCGUAAAGAGCGUGUAGGCGGUCCGGUAAGUCGGCUGUGAAAGUCCAGGGCUCAACCCUGGGAUGCCGGUCGAUACUGCCGGACUAGAGUUCGGAAGAGGCGAGUGGAAUUCCUGGUGUAGCGGUGAAAUGCGCAGAUAUCAGGAAGAACACCCGUGGCGAAGGCGGCUCUCUGGGACGGUACUGACGCUGAGACGCGAAAGCGUGGGGAGCGAACAGG